CUUCGCGAAUGUAAACGCAAUAAAUGCCAUUUAUUUUAACUACGUAUUUGCAUAGCACUCUUAAUGCAUCUGAUAAAAAAAAAAUUGAUAAUAACAAUAUUAUUAUAAUCUCUCAGAUAUCACGAAUUAGCAUUCUUCGCAUUCGUGCAUUUAAAUAUACGCUCUCGGAAUGUUUACAAAAUAAAAAUCACAAACUCGAACUCAGU
Cinara cedri is the source of this 206-nucleotide non-coding RNA. The record is from the annotation of a GenBank genome assembly. Lineage: Eukaryota; Metazoa; Arthropoda; Insecta; Hemiptera; Aphididae.